AUAGAGGUCUCGCCGGGCAAAUUUUGAGUGAUCUUCUGCAACAAGCCAAGACCUCUGAUAUCGCUGACAUGCGAUGUGUUGCCAUGAGAGGGCUUCCAGUACUUCUUGGUGAUGACCAAACUGAGUUCUUCAAAGCAUGCUUUGCUUCUGAUGAUGGAGACUCGUACCAACAUGUGCCAGUUGGAAUCCUCAGCUUAGAAAAUGAAGAUGUGGCUCUGCAACCCCUGUCC
This is a long non-coding RNA of Cyprinus carpio (common carp), 230 nucleotides long. RefSeq lists it as uncharacterized. The transcript has 3 exons. The record is from RefSeq and is a predicted model, not a curated record. Lineage: Eukaryota; Metazoa; Chordata; Actinopteri; Cypriniformes; Cyprinidae.